AUACGUAGGGUGCGAGCGUUGUCCGGAAUUACUGGGCGUAAAGAGCUCGUAGGUGGUUUGUCGCGUCGUCUGUGAAAUUCCGGGGCUUAACUCCGGGCGUGCAGGCGAUACGGGCAUAACUUGAGUACUGUAGGGGAGACUGGAAUUCCUGGGGUAGCGGUGAAAUGCGCAGAUAUCAGGAGGAACACCGGUGGCGAAGGCGGGUCUCUGGGCAGUAACUGACGCUGAGGAGCGAAAGCAUGGGUAGCGAACAGGAUUAGAUACCCUGGUAGUCCAUGCCGUAAACGGUGGGCGCUAGGUGUAGGGGUCUUCCACGACUUCUGUGCCGUAGCUAACGCAUUAAGCGCCCCGCCUGGGGAGUACGGCCGCAAGGCUAAAACUCAAAGGAAUUGACGGGG
Molecule: ribosomal RNA, 398 nt
Filed under: uncultured bacterium
Lineage: Bacteria
Description: partial 16S ribosomal RNA
Rfam family: Bacterial small subunit ribosomal RNA
Source: RNAcentral